CAAAGAGUAGUUUAAUUUUAGAAUCCUAGCUUUGGGAGCUAGGGAUGGGAGUUAAAUUCUCCUCCCUUUGA
This 71-nucleotide transfer RNA is filed under the name Asterorhombus intermedius (intermediate flounder). RNAcentral describes it as "tRNA-Pro". It matches the Rfam family "tRNA". Rfam says of the family: Transfer RNA (tRNA) molecules are approximately 80 nucleotides in length. Their secondary structure includes four short double-helical elements and three loops (D, anti-codon, and T loops). Lineage: Eukaryota; Metazoa; Chordata; Actinopteri; Pleuronectiformes; Bothidae. The record is from RNAcentral.